AGUGAACGCUGGCGGUAGGCCUAACACAUGCAAGUCGAACGGCAGCACAGAGGAGCUUGCUCCUUGGGUGGCGAGUGGCGGACGGGUGAGGGAUACAUCGGAAUCUACUCUGUCGUGGGGGAUAACGUAGGGAAACUUACGCUAAUACCGCAUACGACCUACGGGUGAAAGCAGGGGAUCUUCGGACCUUGCGCGAUUGAAUGCGCCGAUGUCGGAUUAGCUAGUUGGCGGGGUAAAGGCCCACCAAGGCGACGAUCCGUAGCUGGUCUGAGAGGAUGAUCAGCCACACUGGAACUGAGACACGGUCCAGACUCCUACGGGAGGCAGCAGUGGGGAAUAUUGGACAAUGGGCGCAAGCCUGAUCCAGCCAUACCGCGUGGGUGAAGAAGGCCUUCGGGUUGUAAAGCCCUUUUGUUGGGAAAGAAAUCCAUCUGGUUAAUACCCGGGUGGGAUGACGGUACCCAAAGAAUAAGCACCGGCUAACUUCGUGCCAGCAGCCGCGGUAA
Molecule: ribosomal RNA, 506 nt
Filed under: uncultured bacterium
Lineage: Bacteria
Description: partial 16S ribosomal RNA
Rfam family: Bacterial small subunit ribosomal RNA
Source: RNAcentral